This 431-nucleotide unclassified non-coding RNA is filed under the name Hevea brasiliensis (rubber tree). The record is from RNAcentral. Lineage: Eukaryota; Viridiplantae; Streptophyta; Magnoliopsida; Malpighiales; Euphorbiaceae.
GCCUAACCCAAAUACACUUGUUGGUGCCAUGGUUGCUGGUCCUGAUAAGCGUGACGGGUUUCACGACGUUCGCACCAAUUAUAACUAUACUGAGCCAACUCUAGCUGGAAAUGCAGGCUUGGUUGCAGCGCUUGUUGCUCUGUCAGGUGAAAAGACAAAUGGAAUUGACAAGAACACCAUCUUCUCUGCUGUGCCUCCAAUGUUUCCAACUCCACCCCCACCUCCAGCCCCUUGGAAACCAUGAUCAUAUGACUCAUUCUUCUGGAAGCAUGUUACAUAAGUUGCAGAAACGCUGUUGGUUGUGGUCGGAUUUUGAAACGUCUGUCGAGGUGAAACUGAAGACUUUAGUGAAAGAAUGUAAAACAAUAUUGCUUGGCAGAGAUACCACAAGCCAAAUGAUUGAGAUAACUAUAAAGAUUUUGGCUUUAGGG